ACAGGUGACUGAUAUCCAGCGAGAAGGUGAACGUGACAUAUACGCCCGUCAGCUGCAAGAAAGGAACCACGAGACAGAACCUUUGCUUCUUGGUUAAACUGUGUCUCCUCUGUGCAGUUUCUGCAAAGACGUAAAAACUGACUCCUGGGGAUAUUCUUUAACCAAAUGGUUUUUUCCACAUAUUUCAAUGGGCGUGCUGGAUUUCUUUUUGUGCUGGUACUACCUUCCUCCAACUGAAGCGGCCUAAAGCUAAGCUGACAUUUCCUAUUCUGUCUGUGGUGAUAAGGAGGAGGCUGCUGGAAAGUGAUCUGUACAGCAUUACAGUGAAAGGGUAUUGGUGGACUAUUUAUGAGCUCGGAUUCCAGGCAGGGAUCUGCUCAUUCUCCUUCAACAUCAACAAGGCAUUUUCGUCCACACAAGUGUCGCUAACUGGAUAUUUUCUCUGUAAACCCUAGAGACGGUUGUGUGUGAAAAUCCCAGUAGAUCAGCAGUUCCUGAAAUACUCAGACCAGCUUGUCUUGCACCAACAACCAUUACACAUUAAAAAUUACUUAAAUACCCUUUGUUCCCCUUUUUUUUUUUUACUUGAGCAAGUUGUCUGGACAACAUGUACAUGCCAAAAUGCAUUGAGUUGCUGCCAUGUGAUUAUCUGAUUACCUAUUAGUGUUAACAAGCAAUUGAACAGGUGUAACUAAUAAAUGGACAGUGGGGGAGAUUUAUCAAAACUUGUGUAGAGGAAGAAGAGUGGUGAAGUAAAUUCAAAUGGAUUUCUUGGCAUUUCCACUGAAAGGUGUGUUAUGUACAAACGUGACCAUAUACAACUUGGGCAAAUGUACAAAGAUCACAGAGAAGCCCAACUUACAAUGUCAUAAUAAUGUCUAAUAAUUAAUGCGGCACAAAUAUUACUGCUACAAUGUGUCAUAUGUCGUAUUUUAAGAAAAUAAUAAAAAGGAAAAAGAAAAUGAAGAAGAUAAACAAAAACACCUGCACAAACAUCAUUACCAAAAACCACAUUUAAUAUGUUCUUAGCAACCUAAUAAAAUAAAAUACAACCAUCUGACAAAUUUUGGCUCAGAAAAGACUGUUGAUCUCAAACAGUGUCACAGUUAAAUGCAGAGUCAAAGUUGUAGCAUUUUUUUUUUUUUUUUUUUUUAAACCUCCUGUAAAUAUUUUUCCAUCAAAAAGCCACUUAAAAAGGUAUGGCCGCCAGUUUUUUUUUUUGUUUAUUUAUUUUAUUUUUUAACUCCACCACAAAUACUUUUAAAAAUAUAACAGAUUUGCAACUGGUCUUAAUCCUUAAUGUAACAUUUUCUAACAUUUGUCUUCUGCAGCUUGCAUAUUUUAAAAUACAGUACAAGCUGCUGAGUGCCGUAUAGUGCUCUGUUUUGUUUAUUAAAUUAUUUUUUAGGUUUUAUCUUUAAUAGCAUUCAGGAGUGAAAGCGGAUGGCUGCACAUGGCAGAAUUUGUGCGGACAUUCCACGCGUUUGCCCAAUACGGCGGGCGCUGAUACCGAUCGGAAAUGUGCCAUUUCCUUGCGAUGUCCACAGAAAGAAUAGACAUGACUAUUCAUUCUGCAGAUGCCGGAAUUUGAAUUUCAGCGGCAGAAACAUCUGGCGCGUAAAUUCGGCAGUGUGAACAGUGCAAUCAAUGGGACUCUGUUGCAGCACAAUAUCCGGCGCAGAAUAUUCUAUGCAAAUUCCGCAGUGUAAAUUAAAAACAAUUGCACAUGUUUUAUUUAUGAAAGUACAUAUAGUCAUGGCCGUAAAUGUUGGCACCCCUGAAAUUUUUCAAGAAAAUUAAGUAUUUCUCACAGAAAAGCAUUGCAGUAACAAAAGUAUUUGCUAUACACAUGUUUAUACACAUGUAUUUGUGUGUAUCGGAACUAAACCAAAAAAGGGAGGAAAAAAAGCUAAUUGGACAUAAUGUCACACCAAACUCCAAAAAUGGGCUGGACAAAAUUAUUGGCACCCUUUCAAAAUUGUGGUUAAUAAGAUUGUUUCAAGCAUGUGAUGCGCCUUUGAACUCACCUGGGGCAAGUAACAGGUGUGGGCAAUAGAAAAAUCACACCUCAAAGCAGAUAAAAAGGAGAGAAGUUCCCUUACUCUUUGCAUUGUGUGUCUGUGUGUGCCACACUAAGCAUGGGCAACAGAAAGAUUAGAAGAGAAUUGUCUGAUGACCCGAGAACCAAAAUUGUGGAAAAAUAUCAUCAAUCUCAAGAUUACAAGUCCACUCCAGAGAUCUAGAUUUGCCUUUGUCCACAGUGUGCAACAUUAUCAAGAAGUUUGCAACCUAUGGCAAUGUAGCUAAUCUCCCUGGGCGUGGACGGAAGAGAAAAAUUGAUGAAUGGUGUUGACGCUGGUUAGUCCAGUUGGUGGAUAAGCAGCCCCAAACAAGUUCCAAAGAUAUUCAAGCUGUCCUGCAGGCUCAGGGAGCAUCAGUGUCAGCGUGAACUAUCCGUCGACAUUUAAAUGAAAUGAAACACUAUGGCAGGAGACCCAGGAGGACCCCACUGCUGACACAGAGACAUAAAAAAGCAAGACUACAUUUUGCCAAAAUGAACUUGAGUAAGCAAAAAUCCUUCUGGGAAAAUGUCUUGUGGACAGAUGAGACCAAGAUAGAGCUUUUUGGUAAAGCACAUAAUUCUACUGUUUACUGAAAACAGAAUGGGGUCUACAAAGAAAAGAGCACAGUACCUACAGUGAAAUAUGGUGGAGGUUCAAUGAUGUUUUGGGGUUGUUUUUCUGCCUCUGGCACUGGGUGCCUUGAAUGUGUACAAGGCAUCAUGAAAUCUGAGGAUUACCAAUGGAUUUUGGGUCAGACUGUACAGCCCAGUGUCAAAGCUGGGUUGGUGUCAGAGAUCUUGGGUCUUCCAGCAGGACAAUGACCCCAAACAUACGUAUAAAAGCACCCAGAAAUAGAUGACAACAAAGCGCUGGAGAGUUCUGAAGUGGCCAGCAAUGAGUCCAGAUCUAAAUCCCAUUGAACACCUGUGGAGAGAUCUUAAAAUUGCUGUUGGGAAAAGGCGCCCCUCCAAUAAGAGAGACCUGGAGCAGUUUGCGGAGGAAGAGGGGUCCAACAUUCCGGCUGAGAGGUGUAAGAAGCUUAUUGAUGGUUAUAGGAAGCGACUGAAUAAGGGAAUAAACAUGUAUAGCAAAACACGUGUCACUGCAAUCAUUUUCUGUGAGAAAUACUUCAUUUUCUUGAAAAAUUUCAGGGGUGCCAACAUUUACGGCCAUGACUGUACAAUACAAUAAAAAAAUGUUCUAAGAAGUCCAAACCUUUAAGUUUAUUGGUGUUGCAAAUGAAUAAUACAGGUGUAUAGUAUAUGUAAACUUUACGUGGCCUAUGUCUCACCGAAUAGACUGUCUUUAACGGAUAAAGAGAUUUCAAAAAGCAAAAAAAAAGCAUUACUAAUCUGCACAGGUACUUAGAAUUCCUAUGAUAUUAGCUCUUUAUAUAACUUGUGUUGAGAGCUGCACAGUAUAUCAAUUUUCAUUUUAUAUAUGUUGUUCUUUUGUUUACCUACAUCAAUGUUUUCCAAACACUGUGUCUCCAGCUGUUGCAAAACUACAACUCCCAGCAUGCCCGGACAGCCAAAGGCUGGGAGUUGUAGUUUUGCAACAGCUGGAGACAUACUGUUUGGAAUUCAUUAGCCUAAACCAUUAAAAGGGAACAAGGGUUCUGCUAAGCCCUUGAUUUUUAACCCCUGUCUUCCAUGGCAGGCCUACCCAAGACCACUCCUACAAUUUGAGGUUAUAAUCUUUUUUCUGUAUCAUUAGGGUAUGCACCUUUAUACUUUGAACUUUAUUAUUAUUACUUUUAUUGGGUUGUAUUGGUGCUGUAAACUACUAAUACAGAUAAGAGCUCGUUCACACUGCCAUUUUGCUUUGGUAAAUGGAGCUCUGUCAAUUACGAUAAAAUACCGAAUCCCCAACGUAUCCAAUUCAAGUCAAUUGGAUUCGUCAGGACCUGGUGGUGUCAGCUGACCCCAGAAGGGUCAGAGCACAACAGCAGUGUGAACUUAGCCUAAGAAAUAUAAUCCCUCUAAAGUGGAGCCAAUCUACAGUAAUUCCCCAAAACCAAAUCUACAGUAAUUCCCCAAAUCCAAAUCACAGAAAUUUUCCUUGCAGACAUUGCCCCUGUGAACAUAGCCUAAGGGUACAUUCACACGAGCGGACCCACAGCGUAUUUUUCACGCUACAGAUCCGCCACUGAAGGACCCCUGCAUGGUGGCUUUACAUGUGUAUGCUCAGAGCAGCAAUACACCGCUAUGAGCAGACACACUGCGAUGUGUGAGUCGCAGCGCGCAUGCGCAGUAUACCCGCACAUCGCGGCAGCUCUCAGCCUAGAUCAUGGAGUAAGGGGAGCAGCCGCGAUGUGUGCGAGUACACAGCGCAUGCACAGCAACUCACAUCGCAGUGUGUCUGCUCGUAGCGGCGUAUUGCCGCUCCGAGCAGGCACAUGUAAAGCCACCAUGCAGGGGUCCUUCAGCGGCGGAUCUGCACCGUAAAAUACGCUGUGGGUCCGCUCUUGUGAACGUACCCUAAGGCAGUGUUUCCAAACCAGCGUGUCCUUGGAAUCGGAACAGCAGCAGGAAGACCUGUCGCUUUAACAAAAGUCAUGGACUCAUUGUUUUACUAUGCAAAGAUACGUACCCACCAUAUGUAAAAAUAGCGCAUUAUAGAACUUUAUUUUUUUUUAGAUAGCACCAGGUCCAUUAGAGUCCGUGGCUGUGUUUCCCAACCAGUGUGCCUCCAGCUGUUGCAAAACUACAACUCCCAGCAUGCGCAGACAGCUUUUGACAAGAGUUUAUAUUUAUGACAAUAAAUAAAAGGAGGUCUGAGAACAAUGCAUCUCUCCAUGAAAUAUAAGCACCUCUAUAGGACUAAAGUAACCACCUACCUAUAUGAUUCAUACAACUGUAACUGUACAACACCGAUGGAAACAGCAACAUUGUUAGAAUAUGGAAAUAAAUACAGUUAAAAAAAAAAGAAUUUACCAAAGAAACUUUUUUUUUUUUUUUUUU
Molecule: long non-coding RNA, 5026 nt
Organism: Hyla sarda
Lineage: Eukaryota; Metazoa; Chordata; Amphibia; Anura; Hylidae
Exons: 6
Source: RefSeq, a predicted model, not a curated record